RNAcentral lists this ribosomal RNA (481 nucleotides) under uncultured eukaryote. Its description in RNAcentral is "SSU rRNA". It matches the Rfam family "Eukaryotic small subunit ribosomal RNA", at positions 75 to 550 of the family's 1831-position model. The record is from RNAcentral.
UAUACGGCGAAACUGCGAAUGGCUCAUUAAAACAGUUAUAGUUUAUUUGAUGGUCUUUACUACAUGGAUAACCGUGGUAAUUCUAUGGCUAAUACAUGCGCACAUACCUCUUCCCUCGUGGAAGGGUAGUGUUUAUUAGAUACAGAACCAACCCACCUUCGGGUGGUCCCCAGGUGAUUCAUAGUAACCGAACGGAUCGCAUUAUGACCUUUUGGUCGGCGAUGGAUCAUUCAAGUUUCUGACCUAUCAGCUUUCGACGGUACUGUAUUGGACUACCGUGGCAGUGACGGGUAACGGGGAAUUAGGGUUCGAUUCCGGAGAGGGAGCCUGAGAAACGGCUACCACAUCUAAGGAAGGCAGCAGGCGCGCAAAUUACCCAAUCCUGACUCAGGGAGGUAGUGACAAGAAAUAACAACACUGGAAAUUAUAUUUCUAGUGAUUGGAAUGAUGGGAAUCCAAACCCCUUUCAGAGUAACAAUUG